UUCAUUUCUAGAACACGACAACCUGAACUGCACGACCGCCUCCCAAGAUACUGAUUCGUCCCAUCCGAGAUUGUGUUCGACGAUGGUUGAUGACAUGGACGAGAACGGGAACGGAGAUCCACUACCAGGCCCCUGAAAAACUACUACCAGGCCCCUGUAAAGUAGGGUGUAGUGUGAUAUUGUAAAUAGUGUGAUUUUUUUAAUAUAGUGCGAUAUUGUAAAUAGUGUGAUUUUUUUAUUUUUAAACUUCAAUAUAAACUCAAACAUCUGAUAUUGUUUCAUAUUUACACAAAUUGCCCAUGCAAAAAGGAAUGUUUCUCAAUUCGCGUUCUUUUCCGUACUUGUGUGCUUGCGUUCUUGUGAAACGUCAUCAGUCUUAGCCCAAGUACUGUUCCAAUUCAAAGUACGCAUCAGGCCAAGUACUGUCGUAAAACCCGGAAGUGUUCUUGAUGCGUUCUUAAAUUGGCCGAAAUAUCGAGCCUGCAUCGAUGGUGACUUGUGUGGAUUUGGGACCGUCAAAUAUCCCAGGAUGCAUUUCGCAUUCCUGUUUUACAA
Long non-coding RNA from Gadus macrocephalus (Pacific cod), 555 nucleotides. RefSeq lists it as uncharacterized. NCBI's taxonomy places the organism in Eukaryota, Metazoa, Chordata, Actinopteri, Gadiformes, Gadidae. The record is from RefSeq and is a predicted model, not a curated record. The transcript is spliced from 3 exons.